Long non-coding RNA from Callithrix jacchus (white-tufted-ear marmoset), 1702 nucleotides. Lineage: Eukaryota; Metazoa; Chordata; Mammalia; Primates; Cebidae. The record is from Ensembl.
AUGCGCAGAGGUUGGUCAGAGAAAAACAACGGGGAGGGGCAGGUUCAGCCGGAGUCUGCAGGGGGCCGAGCGCCACGGCCUGAGGCACGGUUCUGUCAGGCCUCCCAGGCGUUCUCCAGCCUCUCCCGGGCCUUCUCCAGCCUCCCGGGUGUUCUCCAGGCCUCUCCCGGGCGUUCUCCAGGCCUCUCCGGCGUUCUACAGCCUCCCGGGUGUUCUUCAGCCUCCCGGGCGUUCUCCAGGCCUCUCCCCGGCGUUCUGCAGCCUUUCCCGGGCGUUCUCCAGGCCUCCAGGGCAUUCUCCAGCCUCUCGGGUGUUCACCAGGCCUCUCCCGGGCGUUCUCCAGGCCUCUCCGGCGUUCUACAGCCUCCCGGGUGUUCUUCAGCCUCCCGGGCGUUCUCCAGGCCUCUCCCCGGCGUUCUGCAGCCUUUCCCGGGCGUUCUCCAGGCCUCUCCCCGGCGUUCUGCAGCCUUUCCCGGGUGUUCUCCAGGCCUUUCCCGGGUGUUCUCCAGCCUCUCCUGCGUUCUCCCGUCCCAGGCAGCAGGGGAAACUCCAUUAUUAAUGAUUGGAGAUGUAUUUAAUUCAUCGGAACUUGAGAGAAUAGAAGACCAGCUGUCACUAUCAUUUUGGAAGAAAAGGAAGGAAGGAACAAUUGAUCCUAGGCAGCAGAGAGAAACAGCAGGCCAAGGUGUAACCACCCUGCAUGGAAGGCCUUCCACCACUUUGUGGGUGUGGCUGGAUCUUACAGAUGCUAAUCAAGAUCUAUAUUCUCCUUUUCCUUUGCACACAUGCGUGAGCACACACACAUGCACACACAAAUGCACAUUAAAAUAUCAGAUUUUUUUCCAUUAGAAAUGAUGAUGUGAAUAAUUUUUUUAUGUAACGGGAGGUGAAUAAAAAUGUUGUGCAACCUUUCAGCAACCCCAGCAAACAAUAGAAAAUAAACAAAAAGGAAACUUUUGUAUGCUGUUUACUAAACCGGCUGACAUGGAGACGAUGGCCAAGACAAUUUGGAAGCUGAAUGUUGAAGAUAAUACAAUUUUUAUGCUUGAAUAAGGUUGCCUCAUCAGUCUGUCCAGCUUCUCUCCAGCUAAAUGAACAGAAAAUAAUUUACUAUGUGUUGGAGCCAUUAUAUAUUUUUGGUCUCCUCAUAACAGCAAUUAGCCUACCCUAACUGAUAAAGUGCGUGAGUUUGUCUAAUCUAGGUUUUGAUAUUAGGAUGUGCAAAUGCCACUGAUUAUAAAAUAUUAUUUCAUACGACAGUAGUGUCUUACUAAAGGUAGAUUGAGGUUACAUAUUUGGAAUUUAUACCGAACCCUAUUUUUCUCUGGGUUUGGUACCUGAAUAGAGAAUGUAAGUGCUAUUUAUUAGACCCACUUCAAGAUCCCAACAGUGGCACGGUAUAUUAUUAGUUCUUGCUCAGUGGGGAAGUUGCCCUUAUCCCCCAGUUAUUCAAAUUACAGUCAUUAGUGUUCUUAAUAAUAAUGGUCUCACAUCCAUAUGACCUUUUACAAUUUUUCAGUUAUUUUAUACAUUACCAUGUGAUAGCAUUUACAAAGUUUAAAAAUAUUGGACACCUGCUAUGUAGAAACAUGAACUAGAUAGUUUAAAAGACUAAAUGUGCUAGAUAUUUACAGAAGAUACUAAAUUCUUGUUUUUAAUUAGACUUAUCUUACAUUUUUGUAAAAAUAGUAUUAAACUAAAG